CACCAGGCCUGGGGACAGGGGCCGGCCACUGGGCCGGCCGCGAGGAGCUGUCCUCAUGGCGGCCGGGUCCAGCCAUAGCCCGGCAGCGCAGUGCAGUGGGCAGCCUGCCCCACCCGCCUGCUCCCCGUGCUGCCUCAGGCCUCAGGCCCUCAGCCAGAGCACCCUCCAAGGUCCCCCAGCCCAGCCACGCGGCCUCCUUGCGGCCCGAGUCACACCCAGGGCCUAGCCUGUCCCAUACCCUGUGCCAGCAGCGCCCCCUGCUGGCUCCGCAGCCCUCCGACUCGGCUGGCUGCACCGCCUCAGGGAAGCCCUCUGGGAUCUGCCUGCCCUGCUCUCUGGAGUGAGGACCCUCCCAGCACCGAGAUGGGGAGUUUGUGCAACUCCCACUGGGUCGGCCCAGACUUGCCUCCGUUUUUCCCCCGCAAGGGGAAUGUGUUAGGUAUUUCGCUUAUUUCGGUAUCUCCAAAACUCUUAGCACAAAAUCAGGCACAUAGGAGGCCUUGAAAAGAUCCUUGUUGGUUGACGUAUUGCUGAGUGAGUGAGCUGUGAUGGCGGCACAGGCCCUGGUCCUCAGAGCCUGAGGGAGUGUGUGCACGUGUGCAUGCAUGUGCGUGUAUGUGGGAUGUGCGUGUGUCUUUGUGUGCAUAUGUGAUGUGUGUGGUGUGUAUGUGGUGUAUGUAGGUGUGUGGUGUGUGUGGUGUGUGUGUGCUGUGUGGUGUGUGUAGGUGUGUGCUGUGUGUAGGUGUGUGCUGUAUGUGUGCUGUAUGUGUGGUGUGUGGUGUGUGUAGGUGUGUGAUGUGUGUGGUGUGUGUGGUGUGUGUGUGGUGUGCGUAGGUGUGUGGUGUGUGUGUUAUGUGUAGGUGUGUGGUGUGUGUGUGCUGUGUGCUGUGUGUAGGUGUGUGCUGUGUGUAGGUGUGUGCUGUAUGUGUGGUGUGUGGUGUGUGUAGGUGUGUGGUGUCUGUGGUGUGUGUAUAGGUGUGUGGUGUGUGGUGUGUGUAGGUGUGUGGUGUGUGUAAGUGUGUGUGCUGUGUGGUGUGUGUGUGCUGUGUGGUGUGUGUAGGUGUGUGCUGUAUGUGUGGUGUGUGGUGUGUGGUUGUGUGGUGUGUGUGUGGUGUAUGUAGGUGUGUGCUGUGUGCUGUGUGUUGGUGUGUGGUGUGUGUGCUGUAUGUGUGGUGUGUGGUGUGUGUAGGUGUGUGGUGUGUGUGGUGUGUGUGUGGUGUAUUUGGGGUGUGGUGUGUGUAGGUACGUGUGCAGGUGUAGCUCACACCCCGCCUCCCUCUAGUCCCCUCACAAGUAAGCAGGACCGUCAGGCGUCCCGGGCGGGGCAG
Molecule: long non-coding RNA, 1328 nt
Filed under: Equus caballus (horse)
Lineage: Eukaryota; Metazoa; Chordata; Mammalia; Perissodactyla; Equidae
Description: lncRNA (ENSECAG00000048693.1)
Source: RNAcentral